Non-coding RNA from Heterocephalus glaber (naked mole-rat), 1776 nucleotides. The record is from RefSeq and is a predicted model, not a curated record. Lineage: Eukaryota; Metazoa; Chordata; Mammalia; Rodentia; Bathyergidae.
GAGGACUCUUCAAUUUCUUUAUUUGUGAAACAGGACUACUGAGGCCACGGUGAGGAUUUAGUGAGGCGUGUAUGGCAGUGUCUGCCGCAUGGAAGAAGCUGUAACAUCGAGGAAGAAGAACAGGCUUGUUACUGAUCGAAAGGCUCAGCCACAUAUCCAGGUAGAUCUGACAGCUGAGGGUGCGAGACACACACUGUACUCUGGAAUGGACUUUGAAGCCACCUGGUCCAGUGUCCUUGGACAGGUCCUUUCAGCUUUCUGGGCUCAGUGUCCCAUCUGUAAAAUGAAGGACUUCGACCCACAGCCCAGUGAUCAUGGCUGUGGGAGGUGCCACAGUCCGAGGCCAGUGAGCUGACAAAGCAGUAGAAGAGUGCAGACGACCCUGGCUGGAAGUUGUCACAUGCACCCUGGCCCUGGCCCUGCAAACUGCAGGGACGAACCAGAGGCCUCACCAGGCAGUGAGGACGAGCCCAAGGCAGAGAUGCUGAUGAAGUGCCAUGGAAUGUGGAGGGGGUGGCCUGUGCCAGUACCAAUGUGGCCAUGUUUGGAGUGGAGAAAGACUCUACCAGGCGCUGGAUCUUAAGGGCUCCUGUGAAUUUUGGAUAUCUGACAGUAUCUGGUUCUGUCUGCGAUGCCCAUCUUGGUGCUGCCUCCAUCUCUGCUGCCUAGAUGCCGAUCUGCAACCUGACUGGUCUUCCUGUUGUGAAACCCCCUAGUCCUGAGCCCGCACAGCAGGCAAGAAGAAGCAUCCUCAGAGGCUGCCACACCCCACACUGCACUGCACAAAGUCCUGCUCCAGGGGCUUCCCUUGAUAUUGGAGCCACGUCUCCGAGCUGCCCUGGUCUGACUCUACCUGCUUCUCACCUCCUCCUGCAAAUCCACACCUUCCCCAGCCCUGGCCUCUGGGGCCCGGAACUGCCCAGCUCCUGUCUGGAGACACCCUGCCCUUCCCUCGGUUGUCUGCAGGGCUGGUUCCUCCUCACCCUGGCUAUGUGGGUCUCCCGGAGGGUCUUGCCCUCUGCCCUGUCAGAGCACUGGCCCCAUUUGGCAGUCAUCUUGUCCUUGCACUUGCUGCCUGUCUGCCCGUUCUCCAGCUGUUCCUACAGCCCAGCCCAACACCCACCCUUGGCCAACAUCUGUCCCUGCAGUGGGAACCAGCACCCUCUCCUCUCCCCCGUUCCAUGGGUAACCUGUGCAUUGUCUUGUCAUUUAUCAAACCUCUAAUAAGCAGGGGUAUUUUUAGAACAGGUGAAAGCAACACUCUAACCUCUCAGAGGAUUUUCCACUCCCACCUGCCUUUCUACUACAAUUUGGUUUCCUGUGGUGGUUGCCCAGGCUGCCACACUAGUCAGCUUUGUUAUUCUGGGGCACAGAGAGGGACCUCAAAAGAAAACCAAGCUCCCCUUCUUCCUCCCUGGCUGGAGAGAGAAACAAGGUACUUAGUUCCAGCCCCUGGCAGACAGAGGGAAGUCUGGGAUGAAGCCUUAGGCUCUUCACUUGCUAUGUUACUCUAGGCUGGUCACUUUCCAUCUCUGAGCUUCAGUCACCCAUCUGUUAGAGGAGGGGCUUGGAAGGUAAAUGAUUAAAGGCCUCUGACAGCCAAGAUUUGCAUGGACCCAUGAGCUAAUGGAUCUUUUACAUCCCUGGGCAUCAAUCGAAUGAGUCUCACUUCUUUCUAUGAAUGAAAUGUAGUUGGUGCCUCAUCUGGUGCACAUGCAAAUAAAUGCAAAUUAAUGUAAAAUAAAGGACUCCAGAAAUGCUCUUUCACAGGACCAA